This 253-nucleotide ribosomal RNA is filed under the name uncultured bacterium. RNAcentral's name for it is "partial 16S ribosomal RNA". It matches the Rfam family "Bacterial small subunit ribosomal RNA", at positions 524 to 776 of the family's 1533-position model. The record is from RNAcentral.
UACGUAGGGUGCGAGCGUUGUCCGGAAUUACUGGGCGUAAAGAGCUCGUAGGCGGUUUGUCGCGUCUGCCGUGAAAGUCCGGGGCUCAACUCCGGAUCUGCGGUGGGUACGGGCAGACUAGAGUGAUGUAGGGGAGACUGGAAUUCCUGGUGUAGCGGUGAAAUGCGCAGAUAUCAGGAGGAACACCGAUGGCGAAGGCAGGUCUCUGGGCCGCAACUGACGCUGAGGAGCGAAAGCAUGGGGAGCGAACAGG